Molecule: ribosomal RNA, 253 nt
Filed under: uncultured bacterium
Lineage: Bacteria
Description: partial 16S ribosomal RNA
Rfam family: Bacterial small subunit ribosomal RNA
Source: RNAcentral
UACGGAGGGUGCAAGCGUUAUCCGGAUUUACUGGGUUUAACGGGUGUGUAGGCGGACUUUUAAGUCAGGGGUGAAAUCCCGAGGCUCAACCUCGGAACUGCCUUUGAUACUAUUGGUCUUGAAUGUUGUUGAGGUGGGCGGAACGGGUCAUGUAGCGGUGAAAUGCAUAGAUAUGACCCGGAACACCGAUUGCGAAGGCAGCCCGCUAAGCAACGAUUGACGCUGAGGCACGAAAGCGUGGGGAUCAAACAGG